GGUAGGAUGGCUGAGCUUAAGCGGUGGAUUGUAGACCCAUAGACAGAGGUUAGAGUCCUCUUCUUAUCA
Molecule: transfer RNA, 69 nt
Filed under: Anarhichas orientalis (Bering wolffish)
Lineage: Eukaryota; Metazoa; Chordata; Actinopteri; Perciformes; Anarhichadidae
Description: tRNA-Tyr
Rfam family: tRNA
About the family: Transfer RNA (tRNA) molecules are approximately 80 nucleotides in length. Their secondary structure includes four short double-helical elements and three loops (D, anti-codon, and T loops). Further hydrogen bonds mediate the characteristic L-shaped molecular structure. tRNAs have two regions of fundamental functional importance: the anti-codon, which is responsible for specific mRNA codon recognition, and the 3' end, to which the tRNAs corresponding amino acid is attached (by aminoacyl-tRNA synthetases). tRNAs cope with the degeneracy of the genetic code in two manners: having more than one tRNA (with a specific anti-codon) for a particular amino acid; and 'wobble' base-pairing, i.e. permitting non-standard base-pairing at the 3rd anti-codon position.
Source: RNAcentral